Molecule: ribosomal RNA, 485 nt
Filed under: uncultured Glomus
Lineage: Eukaryota; Fungi; Glomeromycota; Glomeromycetes; Glomerales; Glomeraceae
Description: SSU rRNA
Rfam family: Eukaryotic small subunit ribosomal RNA
Source: RNAcentral
GGCAGCCGCGGUAAUUCCAGCUCCAAUAGCGUAUAUUAAAGUUGUUGCAGUUAAAAAGCUCGUAGUUGAAUUUCGAGACCGGUUUAUUGGUCGUGCUUUUGUACGUACUGGUAUUAUUGGUUUCUCCUUUCUGACGAAUCUUAAUGCCAUUAAUUUGGUGUUUUGGGGGAUCAGGACUGUUACUUUGAAAAAAUUAGAGUGUUUAAAGCAGGCUCACGCUUGAAUACAUUAGCAUGGAAUAACGGAAUAGGACGUUUGAUUCUAUUUUGUUGGUUUCUAGGAUCGACGUAAUGAUUAAUAGGGAUAGUUGGGGGCAUUAGUAUUCAAUUGUCAGAGGUGAAAUUCUUGGAUUUAUUGAAGACUAACUACUGCGAAAGCAUUUGCCAAGGAUGUUUUCAUUAAUCAAGAACGAAAGUUAGGGGAUCGAAGACGAUCAGAUACCGUCGUAGUCUUAACCAUAAACUAUGCCGACUAGGGAUCGGAUG